CAGGCUAGGGGUCGAAUCAGAGUUGUAGCCACUGGCCUAUGCCACAGCCACAACCACAGUCAAACAACAGCAAUGCCAGAAAUGAGCCACAUCUACGACCUACACCACAGCUCACAGCAACGCUGGAUCCUUAACCCACUGAGCAAAGCCAGGGAUCAAACCUGUAUCCUCAUAGAUACUAGUCAGAUUCAUUAACCGCUGAGCCAUAAUAGGAACUCCUCUCUUCCUCUUUCUUAAAGUAGCUCUGGAAACUCCAAAACUGGGCCAUAUGCCUCAGUGCCUGCUCUCCUGGGACCCUGGGUUUCUUCACACUUGAAUCUUGUUUUCGCUUAUGGGAAACUGGGGGUCCUGGGCUCCAUCCAGUGCAUAGUGGGGAGGGAGCAGCCUGCUUCACACUGAUCUCACCCUCAUGUCUGGUGUGCUGGCUCAAAGGACCAAUCAAAAUUCAAAAGACAUUAGGAUUUAUGUGUCAGGGUGAGGUCUUCCCAGUUAACUAGAGAACAAGCCGACUAGAGCUCAAGGCAUUUGGUGGUUGCUCCAGAAUUCCAAUAGAGCCCCCAGGGGGUGGAUGGGGGCUGACUUUGACCAAACCCCAGGGUCUGGGACAGCUCUGUUCCUGGGACAGAUCUGUUCCUCUGCCUAGCCCUGGAGCCACAGGGCAAGGAGCUCACUGCAGAUGGCAGAUUUAUGGCCCUGAUUCAGAGACAUGCUUUUUUUUUUUUUUUUUUUUUUUUUGCUUUUUAGGGCCACACCUGUGGCAUGUGGAGGUUCCCAGCCUGGGAACCUCCAGAUGCUGCGAAUAUGGCCCUAAAAAGCCAAAAAAAAAAAAAGUGACUGCUAUUGUCAUUUCCCACCUAUCUAGGGUGACACCCAGAGUGGUGAGCCAGGACUGUGUGAUUGGGGGGGUGGAGAUGGAGUGUCUGCUGAACCCCACAUUGUGAAGUUUUGGGAAGUGUGGUAGGUAGAGUUAGACCUGGAAUCCAUUGCUUUCUUGCUGUGUCACCUCGGGGAGCUUACCUAUCUCUCUGUGCCUAAGUGUCUCAUGUGAAAUAAGGGAGCUCUUGAAAGUAGCCAUUCUACAGAGGUCUUACAAGAGUAAACGGGGUCAGGAGUGAAGAGCACAGGGCCUGCCUGUGUCUCAGUAAAGAGGGGUUCACUGCUCAGUAAAGGGGGGCUAGCAUUAUCAUUGGUGGCCAUUAGGGAGGAAUGGGGGUGGGGUUGUGAGAGUGAAACAGAGAUAUGGUGAGGGACUCGAUUUCAUCCGAGGGCAGGGGCUUGGGUCCCUCUGUGAGGUGUUGGGACCCCCGGCCUUCCGUGUCUCUGCUGACAUAUUGGGUAGGUGAACAGGACCCUCCUGGUAAAGGCUCUGGGGUCUCAGAAGAUGCCUAUUUCCAGGAGAAAACCUAGGAAAACUGUGCCUUCAUCUCUUGGGUUCCAUGGGGCAGGACUUGGCUUCGCUGGUUAAGGCCCCUGUGUUUCCACCGCAGUGGCUCAGGUCGCUGCUAUGGCAUAGGUUUGAUCCCUUGCCCGGGAACUUCCACAUGCUUUGGGUGUGGCAAAAAAGAAAAGAAAAAAAGAAGAGGCAUUUCCACUGUGGCUCAACGGAAACAAAUCUGAUGAGUAUCCUCGAGGGUUCGGGUUCAUUGCCUGGGUUAAGGAUCUGGUGUUGCUGUGAGCUGUGGUGUAGACCAGCAGCGACAGCUCCGAUUCAACCCCUAGCCUGGGAACUUCC
RNAcentral lists this long non-coding RNA (1732 nucleotides) under Sus scrofa (pig). RNAcentral's name for it is "lncRNA (ENSSSCG00035031901.1)". Lineage: Eukaryota; Metazoa; Chordata; Mammalia; Artiodactyla; Suidae. The record is from RNAcentral.